AUUGAACGCUGGCGGCAGGCCUAACACAUGCAAGUCGAGCGGAUGAAGGGAGCUUUCUCCUGGAUUCAGCGGCGGACGGGUGAGUAAUGCCUAGGAAUCUGCCUGGUAUUGGGGGAUAACGUCCGGAAACGGGCGCUAAUACCGCAUACGUCCUGAGGGAGAAAGUGGGGGAUCUUCGGACCUCACGCUAUCAGAUGAGCCUAGGUCGGAUUAGCUAGUUGGUGGGGUAAAGGCCUACCAAGGCGACGAUCCGUAACUGGUCUGAGAGGAUGAUCAGUCACACUGGAACUGAGACACGGUCCAGACUCCUACGGGAGGCAGCAGUGGGGAAUAUUGGACAAAGGGCGAAAGCCUGAUCCAGCCAUGCCGCGUGUGUGAAGAAGGUCUUCGGAUUGUAAAGCACUUUAAGUUGGGAGGAAGGGCAGUAAGUUAAUACCUUGCUGUUUUGACGUUACCAACAGAAUAAGCACCGGCUAACUUCGUG
This 484-nucleotide ribosomal RNA is filed under the name uncultured bacterium. Its description in RNAcentral is "partial 16S ribosomal RNA". It matches the Rfam family "Bacterial small subunit ribosomal RNA", at positions 30 to 507 of the family's 1533-position model. The record is from RNAcentral.